AGCCCCGUGGUGUACCACACAUGAGAUUGCAAAUCUCAAGAAGCGAGAUAAGACUCGCCGGGGCUU
Molecule: transfer RNA, 66 nt
Filed under: Bombina bombina (fire-bellied toad)
Lineage: Eukaryota; Metazoa; Chordata; Amphibia; Anura; Bombinatoridae
Description: tRNA-Cys
Source: RNAcentral